GUACACAAAAAUGCACAUAUUGUGAGCUCGAUGAGUAGGGCGGGACACGUGGUAUCCUGUCUGAAUAUGGGGGGACCAUCCUCCAAGGCUAAAUACUCCUGACUGACCGAUAGUGAACCAGUACCGUGAGGGAAAGGCGAAAAGAACCCCGGCGAGGGGAGUGAAAAAGAACCUGAAACCGUGUACGUACAAGCAGUGGGAGCCUCUUAAUGGGGUGACUGCGUACCUUUUGUAUAAUGGGUCAGCGACUUAUAUUCUGUAGCAAGGUUAACCGAAUAGGGGAGCCGAAGGGAAACCGAGUCUUAACUGGGCGUUAAGUUGCAGGGUAUAGACCCGAAACCCGGUGAUCUAGCCAUGGGCAGGUUGAAGGUUGGGUAACACUAACUGGAGGACCGAACCGACUAAUGUUGAAAAAUUAGCGGAUGACUUGUGGCUGGGGGUGAAAGGCCAAUCAAACCGGGAGAUAGCUGGUUCUCCCCGAAAGCUAUUUAGGUAGCGCCUCGUGAAUUCAUCUCCGGGGGUAGAGCACUGUUUCGGCAAGGGGGUCAUCCCGACUUACCAACCCGAUGCAAACUGCGAAUACCGGAGAAUGUUAUCACGGGAGACACACGGCGGGUGCUAACGUCCGUCGUGAAGAGGGAAACAACCCAGACCGCCAGCUAAGGUCCCAAAGUCAUGGUUAAGUGGGAAACGAUGUGGGAAGGCCCAGACAGCCAGGAUGUUGGCUUAGAAGCAGCCAUCAUUUAAAGAAAGCGUAAUAGCUCACUGGUCGAGUCGGCCUGCGCGGAAGAUGUAACGGGGCUAAACCAUGCACCGAAGCUGCGGCAGCGACGCUUAUGCGUUGUUGGGUAGGGGAGCGUUCUGUAAGCCUGUGAAGGUGGCCUGUGAGGGUUGCUGGAGGUAUCAGAAGUGCGAAUGCUGACAUAAGUAACGAUAAAGCGGGUGAAAAGCCCGCUCGCCGGAAGACCAAGGGUUCCUGUCCAACGUUAAUCGGGGCAGGGUGAGUCGACCCCUAAGGCGAGGCCGAAAGGCGUAGUCGAUGGGAAACAGGUUAAUAUUCCUGUACUUGGUGUUACUGCGAAGGGGGGACGGAGAAGGCUAUGUUGGCCGGGCGACGGUUGUCCCGGUUUAAGCGUGUAGGCUGGUUUUCCAGGCAAAUCCGGAAAAUCAAGGCUGAGGCGUGAUGACGAGGCACUACGGUGCUGAAGCGACAAAUGCCCUGCUUCCAGGAAAAGCCUCUAAGCAUCAGGUAACAUCAAAUCGUACCCCAAACCGACACAGGUGGUCAGGUAGAGAAUACCAAGGCGCUUGAGAGAACUCGGGUGAAGGAACUAGGCAAAAUGGUGCCGUAACUUCGGGAGAAGGCACGCUGAUAUGUAGGUGAAGCGACUUGCUCGUGGAGCUGAAAUCAGUCGAAGAUACCAGCUGGCUGCAACUGUUUAUUAAAAACACAGCACUGUGCAAACACGAAAGUGGACGUAUACGGUGUGACGCCUGCCCGGUGCCGGAAGGUUAAUUGAUGGGGUUAGCGGUAACGCGAAGCUCUUGAUCGAAGCCCCGGUAAACGGCGGCCGUAACUAUAACGGUCCUAAGGUAGCGAAAUUCCUUGUCGGGUAAGUUCCGACCUGCACGAAUGGCGUAAUGAUGGCCAGGCUGUCUCCACCCGAGACUCAGUGAAAUUGAACUCGCUGUGAAGAUGCAGUGUACCCGCGGCAAGACGGAAAGACCCCGUGAACCUUUACUAUAGCUUGACACUGAACAUUGAGCCUUGAUGUGUAGGAUAGGUGGGAGGCUUUGAAGUGUGGACGCCAGUCUGCAUGGAGCCGACCUUGAAAUACCACCCUUUAAUGUUUGAUGUUCUAACGUGGGCCCCUUACCGGGGUUGCGGACAGUGUCUGGUGGGUAGUUUGACUGGGGCGGUCUCCUCCUAAAGAGUAACGGAGGAGCACGAAGGUUGGCUAAUCCUGGUCGGACAUCAGGAGGUUAGUGCAAUGGCAUAAGCCAGCUUGACUGCGAGCGUGACGGCGCGAGCAGGUGCGAAAGCAGGUCAUAGUGAUCCGGUGGUUCUGAAUGGAAGGGCCAUCGCUCAACGGAUAAAAGGUACUCCGGGGAUAACAGGCUGAUACCGCCCAAGAGUUCAUAUCGACGGCGGUGUUUGGCACCUCGAUGUCGGCUCAUCACAUCCUGGGGCUGAAGUAGGUCCCAAGGGUAUGGCUGUUCGCCAUUUAAAGUGGUACGCGAGCUGGGUUUAGAACGUCGUGAGACAGUUCGGUCCCUAUCUGCCGUGGGCGCUGGAGAACUGAGGGGGGCUGCUCCUAGUACGAGAGGACCGGAGUGGACGCAUCACUGGUGUUCGGGUUGUCAUGCCAAUGGCACUGCCCGGUAGCUAAAUGCGGAAGAGAUAAGUGCUGAAAGCAUCUAAGCACGAAACUUGCCCCGAGAUGAGUUCUCCCUGAGACUUAGAGUCUCCUGAAGGAACGUUGAAGACGACGACGUUGAUAGGCCGGGUGUGUAAGCGCAGCGAUGCGUUGAGCUAACCGGUACUAAUGAACCGUGAGGCUUAACCUUACAACGCCGAAG
Molecule: ribosomal RNA, 2580 nt
Filed under: Escherichia coli
Lineage: Bacteria; Pseudomonadati; Pseudomonadota; Gammaproteobacteria; Enterobacterales; Enterobacteriaceae
Description: partial 23S ribosomal RNA
Rfam family: Bacterial large subunit ribosomal RNA
Source: RNAcentral